CUCAGCUCUGCAAGCACCCUGAAUCAGACUAAUGUAAAAUGAAAGUGUACCAGAUACAGAUAACUAACAUAUUCUCUCCAGCAUUUCUACAACUCCAAGAUGGAGAAGUAGAUUAAAACCUGUCAAAUGUGAUGUCUGAACUCUGUGAUCAAGCAUCAAGUGGAAGUUGGUUUAUUGCACAACUGCAUGCUAAAAUUAGAGGCCUAAAUACCUGAAAUACCUACAUGAAUUCCAAAUAAAUGCCUUUUUACAAGCUGUUGUAAAUCAAAUUUACAAGUUACUCAUUAACAAUGUUUUUUGGCUAAAGGGAAAGAACUUUCUUCAGCUGCAGGAGACUUUUUUGUUGGCAGCCACUGUAUGACUCCCCCAAUCACACAUCCUGUAAACGGCACACUGCUUUGCUAUGGUAACCAUGUGUUUUCAUCCAGUCUGCUGGACAUCUCAUCAGACUAAGUAAACACAAGGUAACCAUGUUUUUAUCAGCCUGCGUUGCCUUAGUUUUCAGUGUUUGCAGCUGCUAGGGUUUAACUCGAGCUGCUGAUUCCAGCUAAAGAAACAAGUCUAAGAACUUGGAGGAGGACGUUUGUGGCAUACUUUUAAACUUUCUUUAGGUAAGUGCAGUUCUGCACAGAUUAUGAUGCUGGUUUCUUUGUUCCACUAGAGAGGAGAGAAGUUUGAGUUUCAGGAGUUAUGCUUGAUUGCAGCAGGAAACGGGAUGGAAACGUGUCGACUGUUGGGGCUGCAUACUUUACUGACCCAACCAUCAAGCCCAAAGUCAUUUGGGCCAGUCAUGGUCAUGUUUGCUCCCUUAUCUCUUUUGAUUCUCAUGUACAAUAGAAUAUCUGACAUGCUGAAAAAGACAGCCAUGACAGACUUUUAUUAGAGAUUGAUCAUAUUUCAAGACAUGCAGUGGAACUUCAUGAAUUGUCCUCAUGUUUAAAAACUGUUUGCUUCUACACCGUGAGGGAAGAGGAUAUGCUCUUCCUGGCCCAAUAAAUGUGCAGUAAAUGGCAUGUGAUGAUAACUAAAUAUAACCUCUUAGUAUCAAUAAACAUCUAUUAAAAUCAAUAUGCCCAUUGUUCUGAACUUUGAUGACAUGUUACAACACAAAAGCACACAGAAGGGAGGUGCUGCAGUAGAAACAGGUGGUGAGAUAACAAGCUCAUAAAAGAGCUGGAUAUUUUCUGGCUUUAAGGUAAAGGAAGUAAGUCUUCAUAUUCAUCAUCGUCAUCAUCAGCCUCUCAGGUGAGUAGCUCCGCUCUCCUCACAAGGCUUGGAUUAGUCUGUGUGCUCCAGUAAACUAAACCACGACUUGUUCACAAACAUUUUUUAUGGAGAUUUGAUACUAUUUACGCCUGACCAGAGCAUCAGGGUCGAGAGCUUGAUAACUGAUUCUGUACGUUUCUGUUUCUGUGUUCUUCAGCAAAGAAGAUUCUGGUUUUUUUAAGGCACUGAUACGCGGCUACAAUGCAAAAGAAACUUCUUAUUGCGGCUCUUUGCCUUCUUGCUACAGUGAUUCUGUGUGGAGCUCAGACAACUUUUGACCCAACCACUAACGGGUCCACAGCAGCUCCAGAAACAGGAACAACAGCUAAUCAAACUGCUGCACCCAGCACAGCUAUAACCGGUAACCAAAGUACCAUCCCAGCAACGGAUCCCAAUACAUGGACAACUGUUAAUGCCACCCUUGACGAUUCAUCCGGAGGGCUUUCAUCAGGAGCGAUCGCAGGCAUUGUCAUUGGCACCAUUGGUGGGGUGGCUUUACUUGGUGGAGGCAUCUAUGGUGUGCUGAAAUGCACCAACACGAUCUAAAACCAGCUCUCACUAAAUGAAGACUUCAAUGGUCAAACACUGUAACCCCAAACAUUUAUUAUCCCAAUUUCAGGAGUUUUUCUGAUCCUAAUAAGAGGAUGGAAAGAAAAGAAAAUCACUUUGUCUGAAAGGCCCAUAUCUGAAUAAAACCUGAGUCUAAAAUGAUGAUGACGAUGGGCCAAGAGGAAGACAUAAAAAUCUAUUUGACUAUGCCGAUUGUCUGACUGCAGGGUCAGAGGAUAAUUUGUAAGCUGAUCAAAAACUUUUCUUUUGUUAAAUAGAAACUAUUUAAUAUUUGCAUGCUUGUCUUGACUUAAAUGGGCUAGAAGUUUAUGCAUUUGUGAAAACUAAUCUAUUAAUGUCCAUCUGUGAACUGAAGUAGCUUGUGUUGGUCAGAUUUUGCACAAAGUAGUUCUGAAGCAUGUGCUGCUGCUUCAGUGCAAGAUGUCGGUUAAUGAGCUGCACUCUUGUUACUUCUUUUAUUAAAAAAAAAUCUUUGUAAGUGCAUUUGGACUGACAUACCUCAUUAUAAGUCAACCGUUUUAAUCUAGAUUUAUGACCUUU
Melanotaenia boesemani (Boeseman's rainbowfish) is the source of this 2376-nucleotide long non-coding RNA. RefSeq lists it as uncharacterized. NCBI's taxonomy places the organism in Eukaryota, Metazoa, Chordata, Actinopteri, Atheriniformes, Melanotaeniidae. The transcript has 3 exons. The record is from RefSeq and is a predicted model, not a curated record.